RNAcentral lists this ribosomal RNA (218 nucleotides) under uncultured microorganism. RNAcentral's name for it is "partial 16S ribosomal RNA". It matches the Rfam family "Bacterial small subunit ribosomal RNA", at positions 9 to 226 of the family's 1533-position model. The record is from RNAcentral.
GAGUUUGAUCGUGGCUCAGGACGAACGCUGGCGGCGUGCCUAAUACAUGCAAGUCGAGCGAGGGUUUUUAAGACCCUAGCGGCGGACGGGUGAGUAACACGUAGGCAACCUGCCUCUCAGACCGGGAUAACAUAGGGAAACUUAUGCUAAUACCGGAUAGGUCUUUGGAUUGCAUGAUCCGAAAAAGAAAGAUGGCUUUUUAGCUAUCACUGGGAGAU